GAAGGAAUUGCUACCGCGCUGCAAUGAAUCAGGAGUGAACUCUCUGCCAGCCUGUGAGCACUGCAGAAACGAAAAUGACCAGAAGGAGCAAGUGACCCCCAGGAGACUUUCUGGAG
This is a long non-coding RNA of Gavia stellata (red-throated loon), 116 nucleotides long. RefSeq lists it as uncharacterized. The record is from RefSeq and is a predicted model, not a curated record. The transcript is spliced from 3 exons. NCBI's taxonomy places the organism in Eukaryota, Metazoa, Chordata, Aves, Gaviiformes, Gaviidae.